UACGUAGGGGGGCAAGCGUUUGUCCGGAAUUAUUGGGCGUAAAGCGCGCGCAGGCGGUUCUUUUAAGUCUGGUGUAUAAGUGCGGGGGCUCAACCCCGUGAGGCACCGGAAACUGGGGGAACUUGAGUGCAGAAGAGGAGAGCGGAAUUCCACGUGUAGCGGUGAAAUGCGUAGAGAUGUGGAGGAACACCGGUGGCGAAGGCGGCCCACUGGUCCGGUACUGACGCUGAGGUGCGAAAGCGUGGGGAGCAAACAGG
RNAcentral lists this ribosomal RNA (257 nucleotides) under uncultured bacterium. RNAcentral's name for it is "partial 16S ribosomal RNA". It matches the Rfam family "Bacterial small subunit ribosomal RNA", at positions 524 to 776 of the family's 1533-position model. The record is from RNAcentral.